UAAUACGAGUGGUGCAAGCGUUAUUCGGAAUAAUUGGGCGUAAAGGGUGUGUAGGCGGCAUGCUAAGUCAACUGUUAAAUUCUCCGGCCUAACCGGAGGCCAGCAGUAGAUACUGGCGUGCUGGAGUGUGGAAGAGAGAAGCGGAAUUCUCGGAGUAGCGGUAAAAUGCGUAGAUCUCGAGAGGAACACCAAUGGCGAAGGCAGCUUCUUGGUCCAUUACUGACGCUGAGACACGAAAGCGUGGGGAGCAAACAGGAUUAGAUACCCUGGUAGUCCACGCCCUAAACGAUGAUCACUAGACGUUAGUUCUGUUUUUACGGAAUUAGUGUCGUAGCUAACGCGUUAAGUGAUCCGCCUGGGAAUUACGGUCGCAAGAUUA
RNAcentral lists this ribosomal RNA (379 nucleotides) under uncultured bacterium. RNAcentral describes it as "bacterial SSU rRNA". It matches the Rfam family "Bacterial small subunit ribosomal RNA", at positions 521 to 896 of the family's 1533-position model. The record is from RNAcentral.